GCUGGGUGUGGUGGCGGGCACCUGUAAUCCCAGCUACUUGGGAGGCUGAGGCAGGAGAAUUGCUUGAACCCAGGAGGCAGAGGUUUCAGUGAGCUGAGAUUACGCCACUGCACUCCAGCCUGGGCGACACAGCAAGACUCUGUCUCAA
RNAcentral lists this small RNA (148 nucleotides) under Macaca mulatta (Rhesus monkey). RNAcentral describes it as "Metazoan signal recognition particle RNA (ENSMMUG00000060206.1)". Lineage: Eukaryota; Metazoa; Chordata; Mammalia; Primates; Cercopithecidae. The record is from Rfam by way of RNAcentral.